This 434-nucleotide ribosomal RNA is filed under the name uncultured Lachnospiraceae bacterium. RNAcentral describes it as "bacterial SSU rRNA". It matches the Rfam family "Bacterial small subunit ribosomal RNA", at positions 341 to 792 of the family's 1533-position model. The record is from RNAcentral. Lineage: Bacteria; Bacillati; Bacillota; Clostridia; Lachnospirales; Lachnospiraceae.
ACGGAAGGCAGCAGUAGGGAAUAUUGCACAAUGGGGGAAACCCUGAUGCAGCGACGCCGCGUGAGUGAUGAAGUAUUUCGGUACGUAAAGCUCUAUCAGCAAGGAAGAAAAUGACGGUACUUGACUAAGAAGCCCCGGCUAACUACGUGCCAGCAGCCGCGGUAAUACGUAGGGGGCAAGCGUUAUCCGGAUUUACUGGGUGUAAAGGGAGCGUAGACGGCAUAGCAAGUCUGAAGUGAAAUGCAUGGGCUCAACCCAUGAACUGCUUUGGAAACUGUUAAGCUAGAGUGCAGGAGAGGUAAGUGGAAUUCCUAGUGUAGCGGUGAAAUGCGUAGAUAUUAGGAGGAACACCAGUGGCGAAGGCGGCUUACUGGACUGUAACUGACGUUGAGGCUCGAAAGCGUGGGGAGCAAACAGGAUUAGAUACCCUGGUA